Molecule: ribosomal RNA, 415 nt
Filed under: uncultured prokaryote
Description: bacterial SSU rRNA
Rfam family: Bacterial small subunit ribosomal RNA
Source: RNAcentral
GUGCCAGCAGCCGCGGUAAUACGGAGGGGGCGAGCGUUGUUCGGAUUCAUUGGGCGUAAAGGGGGCCUAGGCGGCCUGGCAAGUCGGAUGUGAAAUCCCACGGCUCACCCGUGGAAUUGCGUCCGAAACUACCUCGCUUGAGUACGGGAGAGGAGAGUGGAAUUCUCAGUGUAGCGGUGGAAUGCGUAGAUAUUGAGAAGAACACCGGUGGCGAAGGCGACUCUCUGGCCCGAUACUGACGCUGAAGCCCGAAAGCCAGGGGAGCGAACGGGAUUAGAUACCCCGGUAGUCCUGGCCCUAAACGAUGUGCACUGGGUGUUGGAGGUAUCGACCCCUUCAGUGCCGAAGCUAACGCAUUAAGUGCACCGCCUGGGGAGUACGGUCGCAAGGCUGAAACUUAAAUGAAUUGACGGGG